Molecule: long non-coding RNA, 1011 nt
Filed under: Triticum aestivum (bread wheat)
Lineage: Eukaryota; Viridiplantae; Streptophyta; Magnoliopsida; Poales; Poaceae
Description: long non-coding RNA (TAES_LNC020655)
Source: RNAcentral
GCUCCUUUCCCCACUGCGUAGUCGAUCUCCACCACUAGGGAGCCUCGAAAUAACUUAUACAAUUCCUUCAGUCCAACAAAAAUAGCGCUAGCUUCGGCCACCUUGACAAUUAUUCAUGCACCCAGCCGCCUAUCUGCAAGCAAUUUUUGCAUCAUCUCUAGUACACUCCAUGCACAUAGUUAGCGUGAUUAUAGCAUUGUCGGCAACAAACAGGAAUCCAUAUGUAGUCUAAAUCUUAACUGAACUUUAUAGGUUUGACCGUCCAGGAGCUCGGUGACACAAAAUUUGACAACUCAAACUUUAAACCUUACCGGUCUACCAUCAUCCAUGGAAAAUCCACCACAUACUUGGCUUCAUAUUGAGAUGGUUCACCACCUUCAUCUCACACGACUUGUCACACUGCAUAUCCACGAGUCAAUCCAGUUAAUAUUUGAUGACUGAAAAAAAUUCAGAGUAAAUUGAUGGAUGCAUGAAUAAAUCAAUCGAUGUGUUGCAACGGGAGGAAAAAAACAUCACUCACAAGCCACCAAGCUCUAGGGCCUUCGUCUCCGACAUGGAAAUCAAGCAUACUCAGCACCCAUGCAAUGGGCCCCACGGUCGUCUUGCACCCCUGCAGCCCAACGGGCGAUGUCGUCGGCGAGUCAAGGCAGCGGCGGAGCAGGCGCGACACAGAUGCCACGAGCUGCUUUGCUGCCUUUCCCGAAAAUUCAACACAACAACAAAGGAAACUUGGCUAGAGAUUGCGCUUGAACACUUAACUGCAGCAAGGAUGAUUAAAACUUUCAAUAAUACAAAUUUGGCUGUGCGUUACAAUGGAGAUACUUUAUAUAUGACGGCGAAAACGGGAAAGGAAAAUAAUAGGAAAUGACUAAAUGUGUUUGUACCUCCUGACAACAUCCUUUUGCGCUGCAUCACGUAUAGUAAUGAUGUCACAAGCAUGCUCUUGACGACAACGAUUCACAUGUGCUCGCGACCUACAGAGGAUGGAGAAAAGAAGGGCAGAAGAGGGAG